UGUGUAGGCGGUUCUCUAAGUUCCGUGUGAAAUCUCCCGGCUUAACUGGGAGGGUGCGCGGGAAACUGGAGGGCUGGAGUAUGGGAGAGGAAAGCGGAAUUCCUGGUGUAGCGGUGAAAUGCGUAGAUAUCAGGAGGAACACCUGCGGUGUAGACAGCUUUCUGGACCAUCACUGACGCUGAGACACGAAAGCGUGGGUAGCAAACAGGAUUAGAUACCCUGGUAGUCCACGCCCUAAACGAUGCAUACUUGGUGUGAGCCGUUCAUUCGGUUCGUGCCGGAGUUAACGCGUUAAGUAUGCCGCCUGGGGAGUACGGUCGCAAGGCUGAA
RNAcentral lists this ribosomal RNA (330 nucleotides) under uncultured bacterium. RNAcentral's name for it is "bacterial SSU rRNA". It matches the Rfam family "Bacterial small subunit ribosomal RNA", at positions 568 to 898 of the family's 1533-position model. The record is from RNAcentral.